Coffea eugenioides is the source of this 279-nucleotide long non-coding RNA. RefSeq lists it as uncharacterized. The record is from RefSeq and is a predicted model, not a curated record. NCBI's taxonomy places the organism in Eukaryota, Viridiplantae, Streptophyta, Magnoliopsida, Gentianales, Rubiaceae. The transcript has 3 exons.
AUUUGGGUGAAAGCUGGAGUUUAGAGCUUGAAGCUUGGGGAAAACGAGAAGUUAGGGAUUGAAGGCAUAGUUUGAGCUUUUUCAGCCUCCACUUCAGCCAUCUUUGCCUGCUAAGCCCAUCCAGCCUUUCUGGUAGCUAGAAGAGCAUUGGCUUCAGCAACAUCAGCCUUCCUUUGAUUCUCAGCAAAAGGUUAAAGAGCUUGAGAGAAGAUUAAUUGAAGAGCAGGAACAUGACUUAAGGCUAUUUCACUUCGUCAGAAGGUGAUGCUUACUCUCUUU